CCUACGGGAGGCAGCAGUGAGGAAUAUUGGUCAAUGGUCGGGAGACUGAACCAGCCAAGCCGCGUGAGGGAGGAAGGUACAGAGUAUCGUAAACCUCUUUUGUCAGGGAACAAAGACUGGGACGCGUCCCCGGAUGAGUGUACCUGAAGAAAAAGCAUCGGCUAACUCCGUGCCAACAGCCGCGGUAAUACGGAGGAUGCGUGCGUUAUCCGGAUUUAUGGGGUUUAAAGGGUGCGUAGGCGGAAUGUUAAGUCAGCGGUCAAAAUUCGGGGCUCAACCCCGUCGUGCCGUUGAAACUGGUGGUCUUGAGUGGGCGAGAAGUAUGCGGAAUGCGUGGUGUAGCGGUGAAAUGCAUAGAUAUCACGCAGAACUCCGAUUGCGAAGGCAGCAUACCGGCGCCCAACUGACGCUGAGGCACGAAAGCGUGGGUAUCGAACAGGAUUAGAUACCCCAGUAGUC
This 459-nucleotide ribosomal RNA is filed under the name uncultured bacterium. Its description in RNAcentral is "partial 16S ribosomal RNA". It matches the Rfam family "Bacterial small subunit ribosomal RNA", at positions 338 to 795 of the family's 1533-position model. The record is from RNAcentral.